CCUACGGGUGGCAGCAGUGGGGGAUAUUGCACAAUGGGGGAAACCCUGAUGCAGCGACGCCGCGUGUGGGAAGACGGUCCUCUGGAUUGUAAACCACUGUCCCCAGGGACGAAGAUGACGGUACCUGGGGAGGAAGCUCCGGCUAACUACGUGCCAGCAGCCGCGGUAAUACGUAGGGAGCGAGCGUUGUCCGGAAUUACUGGGUGUAAAGGGAGCGUAGGCGGGACUGCAAGUUGGGGGUAAAAUCUACGGGCUCAACCGGUAGCCGCACUCAAAACUGCAGUUCUUGAGUGAAGUAGAGGCAGGCGGAAUUCCUAGUGUAGCGGUGAAAUGCGUAGAUAUUAGGAGGAACACCAGUGGCGAAGGCGGCCUGCUGGGCUUUUACUGACGCUGAGGCUCGAAAGUGUGGGGAGCAAACAGGAUUAGAUACCCUGGUAGUC
This 440-nucleotide ribosomal RNA is filed under the name uncultured bacterium. RNAcentral's name for it is "partial 16S ribosomal RNA". It matches the Rfam family "Bacterial small subunit ribosomal RNA", at positions 338 to 795 of the family's 1533-position model. The record is from RNAcentral.